RNAcentral lists this ribosomal RNA (451 nucleotides) under uncultured bacterium. RNAcentral describes it as "partial 16S ribosomal RNA". It matches the Rfam family "Bacterial small subunit ribosomal RNA", at positions 28 to 507 of the family's 1533-position model. The record is from RNAcentral.
AGCGAACGCUGGCGGCAUGCCUAACACAUGCAAGUCGCACGGGGGGGCUUCGGCCUCCCAGUGGCGGACGGGUGAGGAACGCGUAGGGACCUGUCGAGGGGUGGGGGAUAACCGCGGGAAACUGCGGCUAAUACCGCAUGACGCCGCGGCGUGACAGCCGGGGCCAAAGGCGAAAGCCGCCCGCCGAGGGGCCUGCGUCCGAUUAGCUGGUUGGCGGGGUAGCGGCCCACCAAGGCGUCGAUCGGUAGCUGGUCUGAGAGGGUGAUCAGCCACACCGGGACUGAGACACGGCCCGGACUCCUACGGGAGGCAGCAGUGGGGAAUAUUGGACAAUGGGCGCAAGCCUGAUCCAGCAAUGCCGCGUGGGUGAAGAAGGUCUUCGGAUUGUAAAGCCCUUUCGGCGGGGACGAUGGUGACGGAACCCGCAGAAGAAGCCCCGGCUAACUUCGUG